Aotus nancymaae (Ma's night monkey) is the source of this 113-nucleotide unclassified non-coding RNA. It matches the Rfam family "Y RNA". From Rfam's summary of the family: Y RNAs are components of the Ro ribonucleoprotein particle (Ro RNP), in association with Ro60 and La proteins. The Y RNAs and Ro60 and La proteins are well conserved, but the function of the Ro RNP is not known. The record is from Ensembl. Lineage: Eukaryota; Metazoa; Chordata; Mammalia; Primates; Aotidae.
GGCUGGUCUGGAGGGAGCGAGUUACCUCCACUAGUUAUUCACAGUCAGGCACAGCUCCAACUCCCCCUUCUUCUCUUUCUCCACUUCUCACUACUGUCCUGGACUAGUCUUUA